AUUGAACGCUGGCGGCAUGCCUUACACAUGCAAGUCGAACGGCAGCACGGGGGGUAACCCCUGGUGGCGAGUGGCGAACGGGUGAGUAAUAUAUCGGAACGUGUCCUGUAGCGGGGGAUAACCUAUCGAAAGAUGGACUAAUACCGCAUACGACCUACGGGUGAAAGCGGAGGACCGCAAGGCUUCGCACUAUAGGAGCGGCCGAUAUCGGAUUAGCUAGUUGGCGGGGUAACGGCCCACCAAGGCGACGAUCCGUAGCUGGUCUGAGAGGACGAUAGGCCACACGGGAACUAGGACACGGUCCAAACCCCAAGGGGGGGCAGGAGGGGGGAAUUUUGGAAAAGGGGCGGAAGCCUAAUCCAGCCAGGCCGGGGGGGUGAAGAAGGCCUUCGGGUUGUAAAGCCUUUUCGGGGGGGACAAAACGGUUCGGGAAAAACCCACGGACUACGGGCGGUCCCCGCAGAAGAAGCACGGGUUAAUCACGU
This 485-nucleotide ribosomal RNA is filed under the name uncultured bacterium. Its description in RNAcentral is "partial 16S ribosomal RNA". It matches the Rfam family "Bacterial small subunit ribosomal RNA", at positions 29 to 506 of the family's 1533-position model. The record is from RNAcentral.